This 590-nucleotide ribosomal RNA is filed under the name uncultured bacterium. Its description in RNAcentral is "bacterial SSU rRNA". It matches the Rfam family "Bacterial small subunit ribosomal RNA", at positions 34 to 670 of the family's 1533-position model. The record is from RNAcentral.
CGCUGGCGGCAUGCCUAACACAUGCAAGUCGAACGAAGGCUUCGGCCUUAGUGGCGCACGGGUGCGUAACGCGUGGGAAUCUGCCCAAAGGUACGGAAUAACUCGGGGAAACUCGUGCUAAUACCGUAUGAUGUCGCAAGACCAAAGAUUUAUCGCCUUUGGAUGAGCCCGCGUUGGAUUAGCUUGUUGGUGGGGUAAAGGCCUACCAAGGCGACGAUCCAUAGCUGGUCUGAGAGGAUGAUCAGCCACACUGGGACUGAGACACGGCCCAGACUCCUACGGGAGGCAGCAGUGGGGAAUAUUGGACAAUGGGCGGAAGCCUGAUCCAGCAAUGCCGCGUGAGUGAUGAAGGCCUUAGGGUUGUAAAGCUCUUUUACCCGGGAAGAUAAUGACUGUACCGGGAGAAUAAGCUCCGGCUAACUCCGUGCCAGCAGCCGCGGUAAUACGGAGGGAGCUAGCGUUGUUCGGAAUUACUGGGCGUAAAGCGCACGUAGGCGGCCUUGUAAGUUAGAGGUGAAAGCCUGGUGCUCAACACCAGAACUGCCUUUAAGACUGCAUCGCUUGAACACGGGAGAGGUGAGUGGAAUUCC